This 169-nucleotide ribosomal RNA is filed under the name Liopropoma tonstrinum. RNAcentral's name for it is "partial small subunit ribosomal RNA". Lineage: Eukaryota; Metazoa; Chordata; Actinopteri; Perciformes; Serranidae. The record is from RNAcentral.
UACCGCGGUUAUACGAGGGGCCUAAGUUGAUAGACACCGGCGUAAAGCGUGGUUAAGAUUGAAAAUAAUACUAAAGCCGAACGCCUUCAAGGCUGUUAUACGCACCCGAAGGUAAGAAGCCCAAUUACGAAAGUAGCUUUACUCCCCUGACCCCACGAAAGCCAAGGCA